RNAcentral lists this ribosomal RNA (396 nucleotides) under uncultured bacterium. Its description in RNAcentral is "partial 16S ribosomal RNA". It matches the Rfam family "Bacterial small subunit ribosomal RNA", at positions 523 to 918 of the family's 1533-position model. The record is from RNAcentral.
AUACGUAGGGGGCGAGCGUUGUCCGGAAUGAUUGGGCGUAAAGGGCGCGUAGGCGGCGCGGUAAGUCUGGAGUGAAAGUCCUGCUUUCAAGGUGGGAAUUGCUUUGGAUACUGCCGCGCUUGAGUGCAGGAGAGGUUAUCGGAAUUCCUAGUGUAGCGGUGAAAUGCGUAGAUAUUAGGAGGAACACCAGAGGCGAAGGCGGCUUACUGGACUGUAACUGACGUUGAGGCUCGAAGGCGUGGGGAGCAAACAGGAUUAGAUACCCUGGUAGUCCACGCGGUAAACGAUGAUCACUAGGUGUCGGCGGCCAUAGGCGGUCGGUGCCGCAGCAAACGCAAUAAGUGAUCCACCUGGGGAGUACGUUCGCAAGAAUGAAACUCAAAUGAAUUGACGGGG